CCCUUAGAUGUUCUGGGCUGCACGCGCGCUACACUGAUGCGUUCAACGAGUGUAUCACCUUGCCCGAUAGGGUUGGGUAAUCUUUUGAACACGCAUCGUGAUGGGGAUAGAUUAUUGCAAUUAUUAAUCUUCAACGAGGAAUUCCUAGUAAUGAUGAAUCAUCAGUUCAUCGUGAUUACGUCCCUGCCCUUUGUACACACCGCCCGUCGCUCCUACCGAUUGAAUGCUCAGGUGAGCCAUUCGGACUUUCAUCAUGCUGGUUUCCAGUUUUGAUGAAGGAAAGUCUUGCGAACCUUAUCAUUUAGAGGAAGGAGAAGUCGUAACA
This 325-nucleotide ribosomal RNA is filed under the name uncultured eukaryote. RNAcentral's name for it is "partial 18S ribosomal RNA". It matches the Rfam family "Eukaryotic small subunit ribosomal RNA", at positions 1470 to 1796 of the family's 1831-position model. The record is from RNAcentral.